CCUACGGGUGGCAGCAGUAGGGAAUAUUGCUCAAUGGGGGAAACCCUGAAGCAGCAACGCCGCGUGGAGGAUGAAGGUUUUCGGAUUGUAAACUCCUUUUGUUAGAGAAGAUAAUGACGGUAUCUAACGAAUAAGCACCGUCUAACUCCGUGCCAGCAGCCGCGGUAAUACGGAGGGUGCAAGCGUUACUCGGAUUCACUGGGCGUAAAGCGCGCGUAGGCGGGUUAGCAAGUCAGAUGUGAAAUCCUAUGGCUUAACCAUAGAACUGCAGUUGAAACUGUUAUUCUAGAGUAUAGGAGAGGUAGGUGGAAUUCUUGGUGUAGGGGUAAAAUCCUUAGAGAUCAAGAGGAAUACUCAUUGCGAAGGCGACCUGCUAGAACAUAACUGACGCUGAUGCGCGAAAGCGUGGGGAGCAAACAGGAUUAGAUACCCGAGUAGUC
Molecule: ribosomal RNA, 440 nt
Filed under: uncultured bacterium
Lineage: Bacteria
Description: partial 16S ribosomal RNA
Rfam family: Bacterial small subunit ribosomal RNA
Source: RNAcentral